RNAcentral lists this unclassified non-coding RNA (203 nucleotides) under Hevea brasiliensis (rubber tree). Lineage: Eukaryota; Viridiplantae; Streptophyta; Magnoliopsida; Malpighiales; Euphorbiaceae. The record is from RNAcentral.
UUGGAAUGGCUAUUUGAUUCUAAUUUCUAAGAUAACAAAAGCAAGAUGAUUUUAAAUAUUGGAAUGAUUACCAGAAUUAGUGAUGAGUAGGUAAGGAAAUGCUACCAAACAAUUGUUGGUGGAAAUCCAUAAAUAAAGGAAAAUAUUUCUUUGCAAAUCUGGUUUGUCUGGUCAAAUAUUUUGACUUCCAAAUCUUUUUUUAG